This 85-nucleotide transfer RNA is filed under the name Felis catus (domestic cat). It matches the Rfam family "tRNA". Rfam says of the family: Transfer RNA (tRNA) molecules are approximately 80 nucleotides in length. Their secondary structure includes four short double-helical elements and three loops (D, anti-codon, and T loops). The record is from Rfam by way of RNAcentral. Lineage: Eukaryota; Metazoa; Chordata; Mammalia; Carnivora; Felidae.
GCCUGGGUGGCUCAGUCGGUUGAGCGUCUGACUUCAGCUCAGGUCAUGAUCUCACGGUUCGUGAGUUCAAGCCCCACCUUGGGCU